AACGAACGCUGGCGGCAGGCUUAACACAUGCAAGUCGAGGGGCAGCACGGGAGUAGCAAUACAACUGGUGGCGACCGGCGCACGGGUGAGUAACGCGUAUGCAACCUACCUAUCAGAGGGGAAUAACCCGGCGAAAGUCGGACUAAUACCGCAUAAAACAGGGGCACCGCAUGGUGAUAUUUGUUAAAGAAAUUCGCUGAUAGAUGGGCAUGCGUUCCAUUAGGUAGUUGGUGAGGUAACGGCUCACCAAGCCGACGAUGGAUAGGGGAACUGAGAGGUUGGUCCCCCACACUGGUACUGAGACACGGACCAGACUCCUACGGGAGGCAGCAGUGAGGAAUAUUGGUCAAUGGGCGGGAGCCUGAACCAGCCAAGUCGCGUGAAGGAAGAAGGAUCUAUGGUUCGUAAACUUCUUUUGCAGGGGAAUAAAGUGCAGGACGUGUCCUGUUUUGUAUGUACCCUGAGAAUAAGGAUCGGCUAACUCCGUGCCAGCAGCCGCGGUAAA
This 505-nucleotide ribosomal RNA is filed under the name uncultured bacterium. RNAcentral's name for it is "bacterial SSU rRNA". It matches the Rfam family "Bacterial small subunit ribosomal RNA", at positions 29 to 524 of the family's 1533-position model. The record is from RNAcentral.